CUCUCUCUCUCUCUCUCUUCUUUUAGCAUUAGUGGCUCGGCAUUUCGCAUGGAGAAGAAGAAAAGCGUCAAUUUACCAUGUAGAAGAUCAACUUAUCGUGAUAAUAGGAGAAUUUUCGGUGAAAAAGAUCAAAAACUUAAAUAAGCAUGUGUUUAAAGCAAACCCAAAAUAUUAAGAUGUCACAGAGAUGCAUCAACAUGCUUAUAGGCAUGGUCAUUAAAGGCAUGCCUUAGGUACAAGGCACAAGGGGCACGGGCCUAGCACCUAAAACCCUAAAAGGUAAGCAACCUUCAUGAGUAAUGAACCUCUGCAAUAUUCAAUUCUGAAUGCUGUCAUUUUAUGUUUUUGAUCUUGACAUCACAACCAUUGAUCUGCCUUUGCAAGUAACCAUAUUUUGAGAUCAUUCACACUCCAUCAAAUUAAAACAACAAAAAGAACGAAAGAAGCAGCAUUGCUUUAGAUUAGGCAUGACAACUGUUCUACAAAAGGAGGUGGAAAAAGUUUUAAGGUUUUCUAAAUCACUAAAUCAGGUUCAUUCUGUCCAAAAGCUGUUGGACUUAGAUGGUUCCUAUGUCAUAUCUAUAGCCACUCCAAAUGCCAGGCCAAAGGAAAAAGCAAAAACACCAUCUUCUAAUUUAUGGGUCAACACUCCUCUAGCAUCUAGAGACGAGAGAAAGAUACUGAUUUUGAAGAGGAACAUAAAGAGGAUAAUGAAAAAGAGAAAAUUGGAAGUCAUUAAUCUGAACUUGAUGAUGAUAUGAUGGAGAAGACAAUGUUGAAUUUGAUGAUGAGUAGCUGUCUUAUGGCUGUUUUAGGGAUUAUUGCCAUCUAGUGGAAUAUAAAAUUACGGUUUAAGACUUUUUAACACCUAUAGUUUAGUUUUAUUUUUAUCUGAAUUUCAAAAAUUUUGGUGCUAAAAUUCUAAAUAUUUCAUGUUAUUAUUAUGAAUAGUUGUCUUACAUAGCCCUAAGCAUCUUAUUUUAUUGUGUGCUUUACCUCUUUUAGGCUUGUGCUUGCGCCUAAGCUCCAGGACUCCUUUUGCACCUUAAUGCACCUUGUGCCUUCAAUAACUAUACUUACAAUUCUGUCCUACUGUUUGACCUAUAUUGUUUGUCAUCAAGAAUAAAGAAAGUUUUGCACCAAUUUUUGUAGAUUAAUGUAGAAUAACUAAGCCUAAUGGAUUAACAUGGAUACCACAGCACUGUGCACAUGCCCAAUGCAUGUGAAACUGAAAGACAAUUCUGUCAUAAAGAAUUUAUGGACAUCCCCAGUAUUUUAACUCAUAUGGAUACCAAUUAUUGACUCACACCGUCACAAAUGCUUAAAGCAGACAUGCACAUGCCUAGAGCAAAUGUGCAAAUGUAGGCCCAUGUCCUAUGCACUCUUGUACUUCUACAUCUAAAUGAAAUAAGAAAAGUAAGCACAUAUGCCAUUCAACAAUCAAAAUAAUGUCUACAGUGGUUAAUAAUCACCAGAUUUCCAUCUAUGGGAAUGAUAUAUUUUGAAGAAAUGAGACAAUAAGAAGUUGCAUCUAAAAAAUGCUUAAAAACAAUCAAAACUAAAGCCAAAGAAACCAAAAAUAUCAAUAUCAAACUAUAUAUAUUUGUUUGAACUAAUAAAAAUACACUUACCUCUUUCUUUCUUUGAGGUGGUG
RNAcentral lists this unclassified non-coding RNA (1654 nucleotides) under Hevea brasiliensis (rubber tree). The record is from RNAcentral. Lineage: Eukaryota; Viridiplantae; Streptophyta; Magnoliopsida; Malpighiales; Euphorbiaceae.